Prionailurus viverrinus (fishing cat) is the source of this 469-nucleotide long non-coding RNA. RefSeq lists it as uncharacterized. Lineage: Eukaryota; Metazoa; Chordata; Mammalia; Carnivora; Felidae. The transcript is spliced from 3 exons. The record is from RefSeq and is a predicted model, not a curated record.
UAUGCACCUAUGGGGCCAAAUGCACUUUUUAUUCUUAGAUUUGACCACCACAGAGAAUUAACAAAUAGAUCAACCUAACAAAGAUAUACUUGGUGUUCUUGUCUCUCGCCUUGGAAGUAUGCUGACAAUCUCCAGCGUGUUGUUUCUACUGGAUGCCUCUAGUUCCUCCCCAGAUGCCACCAUUCUCUCUUGAAGUCACUCCAAUCAAGCUUUCCUCUGUUCACUCUACAGAAACUGUUCUUAUCAUGGACACCAGUGACUUCUCCAGGUGAGCUGUAAACGUUUCUAAACACUGUAGCUCAUCUCCUUAAUUUGAGUGAGUACCAAGAAGAGGAACACUAUGCUUCGUGCAGUCGCCGACAUCGAAUUGCCUGGAACAUUCGGUAAAUCACUCAGUCACCCUGCUCUUCAGUUAUUUUAUGUGUUAAAUAAAGAAGCUGGCUCAGAAUUGUCAUUAAGAUCACUUCCA